UACGGAGGGUGCGAGCGUUGUCCGGAAUCAUUGGGCGUAAAGGGCGCGUAGGUGGCCCGCUCAGCGUGCGGUGAAAGCCUGGGGCUCAACCCCGGGUCGGCCGUGCGAACUGGUGGGCUGGAGCACUGUAGAGGCAGGCGGAAUUCCGGGUGUAGCGGUGGAAUGCGUAGAGAUCCGGAAGAACACCGGUGGCGAAGGCGGCCUGCUGGGCAGUGGCUGACACUGAGGCGCGACAGCGUGGGGAGCAAACAGG
RNAcentral lists this ribosomal RNA (253 nucleotides) under uncultured bacterium. RNAcentral describes it as "partial 16S ribosomal RNA". It matches the Rfam family "Bacterial small subunit ribosomal RNA", at positions 524 to 776 of the family's 1533-position model. The record is from RNAcentral.